AACACGUGGAUAACCUACCUAUAAGACUGGGAUAACUUCGGGAAACCGGAGCUAAUACCGGAUAACAUAUUGAACCGCAUGGUUCAAUAGUGAAAGGCGGCUUUGCUGUCACUUAUAGAUGGAUCCGCGCCGUAUUAGCUAGUUGGUAAGGUAACGGCUUACCAAGGCAACGAUACGUAGCCGACCUGAGAGGGUGAUCGGCCACACUGGAACUGAGACACGGUCCAGACUCCUACGGGAGGCAGCAGUAGGGAAUCUUCCGCAAUGGGCGAAAGCCUGACGGAGCAACGCCGCGUGAGUGAUGAAGGUCUUCGGAUCGUAAAACUCUGUUAUCAGGGAAGAACAAAUGUGUAAGUAACUGUGCACAUCUUGACGGUACCUGAUCAGAAAGCCACGGCUAACUACGUGCCAGCAGCCGCGGUAAUACGUAGGUGGCAAGCGUUAUCCGGAAUUAUUGGGCGUAAAGCGCGCG
This 472-nucleotide ribosomal RNA is filed under the name Streptomyces niveus. RNAcentral describes it as "bacterial SSU rRNA". It matches the Rfam family "Bacterial small subunit ribosomal RNA", at positions 112 to 571 of the family's 1533-position model. The record is from RNAcentral. Lineage: Bacteria; Bacillati; Actinomycetota; Actinomycetes; Kitasatosporales; Streptomycetaceae.